RNAcentral lists this ribosomal RNA (253 nucleotides) under uncultured bacterium. RNAcentral's name for it is "partial 16S ribosomal RNA". It matches the Rfam family "Bacterial small subunit ribosomal RNA", at positions 524 to 776 of the family's 1533-position model. The record is from RNAcentral.
UACGAAGGGUCCAAGCGUUAUCCGGAUUCAUUGGGUUUAAAGGGUGCGCAGGCGGGGCCUUAAGUCAGUGGUGAAAUCCCGUAGCUCAACUACGGAACUGCCAUUGAUACUGAGGUUCUUGAAUGUAGUUGACGUUAGUGGAAUGUGUCAUGUAGCGGUGAAAUGCUUAGAUAUGACACAGAACACCGAUCGCGAAGGCAGCUAACGAAGCUAUUAUUGACGCUCAGGCACGACAGCAUGGGGAGCAAACAGG